Molecule: ribosomal RNA, 2904 nt
Filed under: Escherichia coli
Lineage: Bacteria; Pseudomonadati; Pseudomonadota; Gammaproteobacteria; Enterobacterales; Enterobacteriaceae
Description: 23S ribosomal RNA
Rfam family: Bacterial large subunit ribosomal RNA
Source: RNAcentral
GGUUAAGCGACUAAGCGUACACGGUGGAUGCCCUGGCAGUCAGAGGCGAUGAAGGACGUGCUAAUCUGCGAUAAGCGUCGGUAAGGUGAUAUGAACCGUUAUAACCGGCGAUUUCCGAAUGGGGAAACCCAGUGUGUUUCGACACACUAUCAUUAACUGAAUCCAUAGGUUAAUGAGGCGAACCGGGGGAACUGAAACAUCUAAGUACCCCGAGGAAAAGAAAUCAACCGAGAUUCCCCCAGUAGCGGCGAGCGAACGGGGAGCAGCCCAGAGCCUGAAUCAGUGUGUGUGUUAGUGGAAGCGUCUGGAAAGGCGCGCGAUACAGGGUGACAGCCCCGUACACAAAAAUGCACAUGCUGUGAGCUCGAUGAGUAGGGCGGGACACGUGGUAUCCUGUCUGAAUAUGGGGGGACCAUCCUCCAAGGCUAAAUACUCCUGACUGACCGAUAGUGAACCAGUACCGUGAGGGAAAGGCGAAAAGAACCCCGGCGAGGGGAGUGAAAAAGAACCUGAAACCGUGUACGUACAAGCAGUGGGAGCACGCUUCGGCGUGUGACUGCGUACCUUUUGUAUAAUGGGUCAGCGACUUAUAUUCUGUAGCAAGGUUAACCGAAUAGGGGAGCCGAAGGGAAACCGAGUCUUAACUGGGCGUUAAGUUGCAGGGUAUAGACCCGAAACCCGGUGAUCUAGCCAUGGGCAGGUUGAAGGUUGGGUAACACUAACUGGAGGACCGAACCGACUAAUGUUGAAAAAUUAGCGGAUGACUUGUGGCUGGGGGUGAAAGGCCAAUCAAACCGGGAGAUAGCUGGUUCUCCCCGAAAGCUAUUUAGGUAGCGCCUCGUGAAUUCAUCUCCGGGGGUAGAGCACUGUUUCGGCAAGGGGGUCAUCCCGACUUACCAACCCGAUGCAAACUGCGAAUACCGGAGAAUGUUAUCACGGGAGACACACGGCGGGUGCUAACGUCCGUCGUGAAGAGGGAAACAACCCAGACCGCCAGCUAAGGUCCCAAAGUCAUGGUUAAGUGGGAAACGAUGUGGGAAGGCCCAGACAGCCAGGAUGUUGGCUUAGAAGCAGCCAUCAUUUAAAGAAAGCGUAAUAGCUCACUGGUCGAGUCGGCCUGCGCGGAAGAUGUAACGGGGCUAAACCAUGCACCGAAGCUGCGGCAGCGACGCUUAUGCGUUGUUGGGUAGGGGAGCGUUCUGUAAGCCUGUGAAGGUGUGCUGUGAGGCAUGCUGGAGGUAUCAGAAGUGCGAAUGCUGACAUAAGUAACGAUAAAGCGGGUGAAAAGCCCGCUCGCCGGAAGACCAAGGGUUCCUGUCCAACGUUAAUCGGGGCAGGGUGAGUCGACCCCUAAGGCGAGGCCGAAAGGCGUAGUCGAUGGGAAACAGGUUAAUAUUCCUGUACUUGGUGUUACUGCGAAGGGGGGACGGAGAAGGCUAUGUUGGCCGGGCGACGGUUGUCCCGGUUUAAGCGUGUAGGCUGGUUUUCCAGGCAAAUCCGGAAAAUCAAGGCUGAGGCGUGAUGACGAGGCACUACGGUGCUGAAGCAACAAAUGCCCUGCUUCCAGGAAAAGCCUCUAAGCAUAAGGUAACAUCAAAUCGUACCCCAAACCGACACAGGUGGUCAGGUAGAGAAUACCAAGGCGCUUGAGAGAACUCGGGUGAAGGAACUAGGCAAAAUGGUGCCGUAACUUCGGGAGAAGGCACGCUGAUAUGUAGGUGAAGCGACUUGCUCGUGGAGCUGAAAUCAGUCGAAGAUACCAGCUGGCUGCAACUGUUUAUUAAAAACACAGCACUGUGCAAACACGAAAGUGGACGUAUACGGUGUGACGCCUGCCCGGUGCCGGAAGGUUAAUUGAUGGGGUUAGCGCAAGCGAAGCUCUUGAUCGAAGCCCCGGUAAACGGCGGCCGUAACUAUAACGGUCCUAAGGUAGCGAAAUUCCUUGUCGGGUAAGUUCCGACCUGCACGAAUGGCGUAAUGAUGGCCAGGCUGUCUCCACCCGAGACUCAGUGAAAUUGAACUCGCUGUGAAGAUGCAGUGUACCCGCGGCAAGACGGAAAGACCCCGUGAACCUUUACUAUAGCUUGACACUGAACAUUGAGCCUUGAUGUGUAGGAUAGGUGGGAGGCUUUGAAGUGUGGACGCCAGUCUGCAUGGAGCCGACCUUGAAAUACCACCCUUUAAUGUUUGAUGUUCUAACGUGGACCCGUGAUCCGGGUUGCGGACAGUGUCUGGUGGGUAGUUUGACUGGGGCGGUCUCCUCCUAAAGAGUAACGGAGGAGCACGAAGGUUGGCUAAUCCUGGUCGGACAUCAGGAGGUUAGUGCAAUGGCAUAAGCCAGCUUGACUGCGAGCGUGACGGCGCGAGCAGGUGCGAAAGCAGGUCAUAGUGAUCCGGUGGUUCUGAAUGGAAGGGCCAUCGCUCAACGGAUAAAAGGUACUCCGGGGAUAACAGGCUGAUACCGCCCAAGAGUUCAUAUCGACGGCGGUGUUUGGCACCUCGAUGUCGGCUCAUCACAUCCUGGGGCUGAAGUAGGUCCCAAGGGUAUGGCUGUUCGCCAUUUAAAGUGGUACGCGAGCUGGGUUUAGAACGUCGUGAGACAGUUCGGUCCCUAUCUGCCGUGGGCGCUGGAGAACUGAGGGGGGCUGCUCCUAGUACGAGAGGACCGGAGUGGACGCAUCACUGGUGUUCGGGUUGUCAUGCCAAUGGCACUGCCCGGUAGCUAAAUGCGGAAGAGAUAAGUGCUGAAAGCAUCUAAGCACGAAACUUGCCCCGAGAUGAGUUCUCCCUGACUCCUUGAGAGUCCUGAAGGAACGUUGAAGACGACGACGUUGAUAGGCCGGGUGUGUAAGCGCAGCGAUGCGUUGAGCUAACCGGUACUAAUGAACCGUGAGGCUUAACCUU